GUUCAGUCUGCUUAAUCUGUUUGCGUGGAUAUAUAUGACACAAGAGUCUUCUUACAAAACACCCGUUUCUGUCUGGUUUCUGGUUAUUUCUUCAAAGCUUCAUCGUGUGACAAAUGGCUUCUUGAUGCCUCAGUGCACCCCAUGACAGACAAAAGUGGCUUCAAACUGUGUAGAUGCCAUUUGCCAAAGUGAGUAGGACUACUUCCAAGAUUUUGCAUGUCUGUUCACAGCACCUUGACUGGAUCUCAUGACAUAACUUUGACCUAGCAGAAUGGAGGCCGGUGGGUCUUUGCAUCCAGAUGGAACUCAUUAAGGAUGAGAGAAGAGGAUACCGAUUUCUUGCAGACAGUCUAAUCAAGAGCAACAUCACAGGAACUUCGUUAGACAGUGACAUGACAUUAAUUAUUGUGAUUGUAUCGGUUGCUGCCUGUAUUACACUAAUUAUUCUCAUCCGCGCAGCAGUCAUUUGGGACAGACGCCAUAAGAAAAAGGAUCCUGGGACAGUUACACAAACAGACGUGCAUGUCCAUUCAAAUGUGGAAUUGGAGCAUUUUCAAUGUUUAUAUGGUCUUGGUAAUGCCUGCUAUGCUAUCAGUUAUGUACCCGCCCAAGGAGAGAUUGAGUCACUUCCUGUGUUUCCAAGAGACUGUCUGAAGCUUCAGAGGUUGUCGGGUAGUGGUGCCUUUGGAGAAGUUUAUGAAAGAGUUACAGUUGGCAGCCAAAAUUAGUGAAGUUGGAGAGGAGAGUGGCUGUCAAGGUAUACACACACACACACUGUGUCACAAACCGAUCUCUUCACAGACGCUGUGAAAGAUGCCAGAGACAAUGAGAAAACCAUAUUCUUAGAAGCUUAUUUGAUGAGGUAAAAGACAUGUUUGCUCUCAGAAUCAUGCUGAAAAUAUGAUUAUAAUAGGUAACAAAUGGAGCAAAACAAAUUAUGAUGGUGCCCCCUGGCCUAGAGCAAAUGGCUAAUUAACAAUGACACUGUUAAUUAGUGUUGUGGGAGAAAGUAAAGUAUAAAAGGGCCCAUUACUGAGAUCUGCUGUAAAAAAAAAAUUUCAGAAGUUUGGGGUCAGUGAGAUUAUUUCAUGUUUUUUAAAGAAGUUUCAUAUGCUCAUCCGUGCUGCAUUUAUUUGAUCAAAUGUACAGUUUUAUUACAAUUUAAAAUAUUGCAAUUUUCAGCAUUACUCCAGACUUAAGUGUCACAUCCUUUAGAAAUCAAGCAGUUCAAUCAAGAACAGAAAGUUCAAAAGGACAGUAUAACAUUAUAAAUGCCUUUUCUGAGACUUUUGAGCAAUUUAAUGCAUUCAUUCACUUAAUUUAAUUCAUUCAUUUAAUCCAUUGUCAUUUCUUUCUAAAAAAAAAAAAAAAAAAAAAACAUACUGACCCUAAACUUUUAAACAGUAAUGUAUUAUAUCCAGUGAAUAUGCUUUGGAACAAAGAUGUGUUUAUAUACUGUGCUAAUGCAUUCCUGUAGCUAGCAAAAUCAUGGGUUUUAUUCCCAGAGAAUACAUACAUGAAAAAUACACCUUAAAUGCAAUGUACUGUAAAUCUCUUUGGAUAAAUGUGCCUCCCAAAUGCAUGAAUGCAAUAUAUCUUAAUUAAACUAUAUUUAAUACACACAGGGAUAUUUUGCAAUUAAAGAACUGUCUGGUGUCAGUAAGAAGCUACACAGAUCCAGAAAAGGUCAUUAAAAUAGGAGAUUUGGGAUUGGCCCGUGACAUGUGUGAAGGUCUCCUUCCUGUUCACUGGAUGUCACCAGAAAGUUUAACAGAUGAUUUUCAAUAAAUAUUCUGAUGUCUGGUCAGUGUCUUGAGUAUUGUUGUUGCCAAAAAGGUUUUUUUAGUGACAUCUUUGGUUCCAUGUUGAACUGUGAACAUCCAUGGAACCUUUUAAUUGCACAAAAACGUAUUUAUCAUUGUAAAAAGUAUAUUAUGUAUAUUAAAUAUAUUUUAGACUAAGAAAAAAAUGGUUCUUUUAAUAACUGGUCACUGAAAGAUGACCUUCCAAAAAACCUUUUGAAAUCUUUUUUUAGCAAUGUAACAAGGAUUGUAUUCCUACAAAUUAUUUUCUUAUGAUUUUCACAUUUUAGGGCAUUUGGUGUGCUGUUAUAAGAGAUUGUGACAUUACGAAAGUUACCAUAUCCAAGUACACCAACCAUGAAGUUUUAAGCCAUAUCAGUAC
This is a long non-coding RNA of Carassius gibelio (silver crucian carp), 2184 nucleotides long. RefSeq lists it as uncharacterized. The record is from RefSeq and is a predicted model, not a curated record. The transcript is spliced from 7 exons. NCBI's taxonomy places the organism in Eukaryota, Metazoa, Chordata, Actinopteri, Cypriniformes, Cyprinidae.